CUCAAGUUCUGUUAAAUACAGUUUGUUGAUUGAUUUAGACAUUGUUGACAACACAUAGUGGUAUAGUGAAAGCUACCCCCACACAGACUCUCGACAAUUGUCUGUCAUAAAUGAACUAUUCUAAGGAUUAAUGCUUUUUUUUUUAAUAUGACUUUUUCAUCCUCCAUAUCAAAUGUUUGCAGUGGGAAGGUCAUCCCAUACACCGAAUUAGGCAAAUAUUACUUGCUUUUAUUAACCAACUAAGUACAUUAUUGCCAAAAAUGACUAUUUAUUAAAAAAUUACAUAUUUUCUGUAAUGGCCCUGUUUUUUCUGUAAUGGCCCUGUUUUUCUGUAAUGGCCCUGUUUUUUCUGUAAUGGCCUGUUUUUUCUGUAAUGGCCCUGUAUUAAUGCCCAGUUUGUCUGUAUUAAGCCCAGUUAGGUUUUUUUUAUAAAGUUAAUAAAAUUAAGUUGUAAAGAGUAUAAUACCUUUUUGUAUUUUAUUUUAUUUAGUAACCAGCAACUAACAUUAAAGAACCAUAUAAAGGGAUCACUGUUCAUCCUGUUUUUCAACACAUAACUUCUUUCAACUUUAUUUGGUAUAUUUAAAGCUUUAUCAUGAUGAAGUACAAAUUAUUUUUUUCAAACUAAACUGUCAUUAAAAGAGUAAGAGAGUACAUCAAGUUGGUAGCAACACAUAUACUUUUGUUCAGUUGGUUAAUAAAUGUAUUAAGAAAUGGGUGUUUUUAUAAUGGCCCUGUUAUAUGUCCUCGGUCAGUAAUAAUGGCCUCGGAUGUCUGUAAUGGCCCUCGGCGUUGCCUCGGGCCAUUACAGACUUCCUCGACCAUUAUUACAGACCUUGGACAUAUAACAGGGCCAUUAUAAAAACACCCAUUCAUUAA
Molecule: long non-coding RNA, 879 nt
Filed under: Mytilus galloprovincialis (Mediterranean mussel)
Lineage: Eukaryota; Metazoa; Mollusca; Bivalvia; Mytilida; Mytilidae
Source: RNAcentral